ACGGGUGAGUAACACGUGGGCAAUCUGCCCUUCGCUCUGGGACAAGCCCUGGAAACGGGGUCUAAUACCGGAUAUCACUUCCACUCGCAUGGGUGGGGGUUGAAAGCUCCGGCGGUGAAGGAUGAGCCCGCGGCCUAUCAGCUUGUUGGUGAGGUAACGGCUCACCAAGGCGACGACGGGUAGCCGGCCUGAGAGGGCGACCGGCCACACUGGGACUGAGACACGGCCCAGGCUCCUACGGGAGGUAGCAGUGGGGAAUAUUGCACAAUGGGCGAAAGCCUGAUGCAGCGACGCCGCGUGAGGGAUGACGGCCUUCGGGUUGUAAACCUCUUUCAGCAGGGAAGAAGCGAAAGUGACGGUACCUGCAGAAGAAGCGCCGGCUAACUACGUGCCAGCAGCCGCGGUAAUACGUAGGGCGCAAGCGUUGUCCGGAAUUAUUGGGCGUAAAGAGCUCGUAGGCGGUCUGUCGCGUCGGAUGUGAAAGCCCGGGGCUUAACCCCGGGUCUGCAUUCGAUACGGGCAGACUAGAGUGUGGUAGGGGAGAUCGGAAUUCCUGGUGUAGCGGUGAAAUGCGCAGA
Molecule: ribosomal RNA, 578 nt
Filed under: uncultured bacterium
Lineage: Bacteria
Description: bacterial SSU rRNA
Rfam family: Bacterial small subunit ribosomal RNA
Source: RNAcentral